RNAcentral lists this long non-coding RNA (1008 nucleotides) under Nothobranchius furzeri (turquoise killifish). Its description in RNAcentral is "lncRNA (ENSNFUG00015004328.1)". Lineage: Eukaryota; Metazoa; Chordata; Actinopteri; Cyprinodontiformes; Nothobranchiidae. The record is from RNAcentral.
AUGUGCUGUCUCAAUACGGCUCCUGUGAUGACGUCACAAAGACUUAACGGGCACAUGCAAAUCACGUGCUUUGGCGGCUGCGUCGGUCACGUCUGCGACGCUGCAGCAGCAACCGCUCUGCUUCACCCGCCGCUUCACUUACCGCGCAUGCGCAGAGCCAGACUUCUAAUCAAUAUCCUGGAAAUCUUGACAAACCGCAGCAGUAGUAGCCGAAAAGAUUUUGCUCUGCAGAUAUAUUUUAUUUUUAGGAUGUUUUGUCAUUUGAAAAUAAAGACCAAAUGUCAUCCUCAUCAUCAUCCCCAUCAUGAUCAUCACUAUCACCAUCCCCAUCAUCACCAUCGUCACCAUCAUCGUCAUCAUCAUCAUCAUCCCCAUCAUGAUCAUCACUAUCACCAUCCCCAUCAUCAUCAUCAUCACCAUCGUCACCAUCAUCAUCCUCAUCAUCAUCAUCCCCAUCAUGAUCAUCACUAUCACCAUCACCAUCAUUAUCACCAUCAUCGUCAUCAUCAUCAUCACCAUCGUCACCAUCAUCGUCAUCAUCAUCAUCAUCACCAUCAUCCCCAUCAUCAUCAUCACUAUCACCAUCACCAUAAUCAUCAUUAUCACCAUUGUCACCAUCAUCGUCAUCAUCAUCAUCAUCAUCACCAUCGUCACCAUCAUCGUCAUCAUCAUCAUCAUCACCAUCAUCCCCAUCAUGAUCAUCACUAUCACCAUCACCAUAAUCAUCAUUAUCACCAUUGUCACCAUCAUCGUCAUCAUCAUCAUCAUCAUCACCAUCAUCGUCAUCAUCAUCAUCACCAUCAUCCCCAUCAUGAUCAUCACUAUCACCAUUACCAUAAUCAUCAUUAUCACCAUUGUCACCAUCAUCGUCAUCAUCAUCAUUCCCAUCAUGACCAUCACUAUCACCAUCAUCAUCAUCCCCAUCAUGAUCAUCACUAUCAUCAUCAUCAUCAUCAUCCCCAUCAUGACCAUCACUAUCACCAUCAUCAUCAUCAUAUAAACAUCUGA